UACGUUAUUCCUCUUCUUUGUACAUACCAAGCAGUAGCUUGCAAAUAAGCAUCAGUAUCUAUCAUGAGAGCUGAUGCUUUCUGCAGAAGCCCAGUGCAAAGAAUUUGCAGAUCCCCAUCAACCUGUAAAAUGCCAAGUACGUAGUUAAUAGAAGCAAGAACAACCAUGAUGUUUUGCAAUGCACUUCAAUCAUUUGUUUUAAUCGGUUAUUUUAAAUGACUAUAUCAAAAGUAAAUGAAUUCCAAUUCAUACCCUGAAAGCUGUAACCAGUGCAUUACAAGCAUCAAGAUACUGAUAUCCAGUUUGUGCCUGCACAAAUAAAAACAGACAUGAUUCAUGUUGGAGCCAAGUAUACUGACAGGGUUAUGCAUCGAUUGACAACCACAAACCCCCACACCAAACAAAAAAACAGGGGAGAGAGUGAUCUAAUCCAAAUAUUAUCACCUUAUCGUAGUCUUGAUCAAGAC
Molecule: long non-coding RNA, 467 nt
Filed under: Physcomitrium patens
Lineage: Eukaryota; Viridiplantae; Streptophyta; Bryopsida; Funariales; Funariaceae
Description: long non-coding RNA (PPAT_LNC009606)
Source: RNAcentral